Molecule: ribosomal RNA, 442 nt
Filed under: uncultured bacterium
Lineage: Bacteria
Description: partial 16S ribosomal RNA
Rfam family: Bacterial small subunit ribosomal RNA
Source: RNAcentral
CCUACGGGAGGCAGCAGUGGGGAAUAUUGGGCAAUGGGCGCAAGCCUGACCCAGCAACGCCGCGUGAAGGAAGAAGGCUUUCGGGUUGUAAACUUCUUUUAAGAGGGAAGAGAAGAAGACGGUACCUCUUGAAUAAGCCACGGCUAACUACGUGCCAGCAGCCGCGGUAAUACGUAGGUGGCAAGCGUUGUCCGGAUUUACUGGGUGUAAAGGGCGUGCAGCCGGGCUGACAAGUCAGAUGUGAAAGCCCGCGGCUCAACCGCGGAACUGAAUUUGAAACUGUCAGUCUUGAGUACCGGAGAGGUCAUCGGAAUGCCUUGUGUAGCGGUGAAAUGCGUAGAUAUAAGGAAGAACACCAGUGGCGAAGGCGGAUGACUGGACGGCAACUGACGGUGAGGCGCGAAAGCGUGGGGAGCAAACAGGAUUAGAUACCCCAGUAGUC